This 407-nucleotide ribosomal RNA is filed under the name Verrucomicrobiota bacterium. RNAcentral's name for it is "Verrucomicrobia bacterium partial 16S ribosomal RNA". It matches the Rfam family "Bacterial small subunit ribosomal RNA", at positions 355 to 776 of the family's 1533-position model. The record is from RNAcentral. Lineage: Bacteria; Pseudomonadati; Verrucomicrobiota.
UGGGGAAUAUUGGACAAUGGAGGGAACUCUGAUCCAGCAAUUCUGUGUGUGUGAAGAAGGUUUUAGGACUGUAAAACACUUUUAGUAGGGAAGAAAAAAAUGACGGUACCUACAGAAGAAGCAACGGCUAAAUACGUGCCAGCAGCCGCGGUAAUACGUAAGUUGCGAGCGUUAUCCGGAAUUAUUGGGCUUAAAGGGCAUCUAGGCGGUAAGACAAGUUGAAGGUGAAAACCUGUGGCUCAACCAUAGGCUUGCCUACAAAACUGUUGAACUAGAGUACUGGAAAGGUGGGUGGAACUACACGAGUAGAGGUGAAAUUCGUAGAUAUGUGUAGGAAUGCCGAUGAUGAAGAUAACUCACUGGACAGAAACUGACGCUGAAGUGCGAAAGCUAGGGGAGCAAACAGG